GGAAACGAUAGCUAAUACCGCAUAAAAUGGAUUAUCGCAUGAUAAUGCAUUGAAAGGUGCAAAUGCAACACUACCAGAUGGACCUGCGUUGUAUUAGCUAGUUGGUGGGGUAACGGGCUCACCAAGGCGACGAUACAUAGCCGACCUGAGAGGGUGAUCGGCCACACUGGGACUGAGACACGGCCCAG
RNAcentral lists this ribosomal RNA (188 nucleotides) under uncultured Streptococcaceae bacterium. Its description in RNAcentral is "partial 16S ribosomal RNA". It matches the Rfam family "Bacterial small subunit ribosomal RNA", at positions 152 to 334 of the family's 1533-position model. The record is from RNAcentral. Lineage: Bacteria; Bacillati; Bacillota; Bacilli; Lactobacillales; Streptococcaceae.